GUGAGGAAUAUUGGUCAAUGGGCGGAAGCCUGAACCAGCCAUCCCGCGUGGAGGAAGACGGCCCUAUGGGUUGUAAACUUCUUUUCAAGGGGAAGAAAGUUCGCGACGUGUCGCGAUUUGCCGGUACCUUUGGAAUAAGCAUCGGCUAACUCCGUGCCAGCAGCCGCGGUAAUACGGAGGAUGCGAGCGUUAUCCGGAUUUAUUGGGUUUAAAGGGUGCGUAGGCCGAUCGAUAAGUCAGCGGUGAAAUACCAUGGCCCAACCAUGGAACUGCCGUUGAUACUGUCGGUCUUGAAUAUGGUCAAGGUAGGCGGAAUGUGUAAUGCAGCGGUGAAAUGCUUAGAUAUUACACAGCACACCGAUUGCGAAGGCAGCGUACUGGUCCAUUAUUGACGCUGAGGCACGAAAGCGUGGGGAUCGAACAGGAUUAGAAACCCCAGUACC
This 443-nucleotide ribosomal RNA is filed under the name uncultured bacterium. Its description in RNAcentral is "partial 16S ribosomal RNA". It matches the Rfam family "Bacterial small subunit ribosomal RNA", at positions 354 to 796 of the family's 1533-position model. The record is from RNAcentral.